GCCACGGUGGUCUAGCGGUUAGAACGCUGGCCUUGUAAUCCUGGGGUCUCGGGUUUGAUUCCCGGCGGUGCCC
This is a non-coding RNA of Zootermopsis nevadensis, 73 nucleotides long. NCBI's taxonomy places the organism in Eukaryota, Metazoa, Arthropoda, Insecta, Blattodea, Termopsidae. The record is from Rfam.